This 271-nucleotide unclassified non-coding RNA is filed under the name Hevea brasiliensis (rubber tree). Lineage: Eukaryota; Viridiplantae; Streptophyta; Magnoliopsida; Malpighiales; Euphorbiaceae. The record is from RNAcentral.
AAUUGGUCAAAUUCAGAUAACGCCACGUUACGAAUAAACCGAGAGCCGAAAGAAGAAGAUUCAAAAGGCCUGAUAAAAGAAGAAGGGGUUGAAGAUGAUAAAGAAAGAUUCAAAGAGGACGAAGGAAGAGAGAAGAAGGAAAAUGAAGUUGGUGUGGAAUUGGGUUUCAGAGAAGAAAGGGUUUGUGGAGUUACAAAGAGAAAUUGAAGAGAAGAAACUGAAGAAGCCAUUGUUGCUAAGACGCCGAGUUGAUGAUAGUGUAGAAGUGGAA